UCCUAAAAGACCCAAAGAGCUGGCUCUGGA
RNAcentral lists this non-coding RNA (30 nucleotides) under Rattus norvegicus (Norway rat). The record is from RNAcentral. Lineage: Eukaryota; Metazoa; Chordata; Mammalia; Rodentia; Muridae.